GCCUUAUCUCCUGGGCCUUGGGCAGGGACUGGGUCUGUGUGGGGUUGCCUCUGACCCCUGGGGUGAGGCAGAAGAUCUUGGGUGGAGCCAAAAGGGGUCAUUGAGACAGAAAGCAGAAGUGUCCCUCACCUCAGGGCCCCUUUCUCCAGGCAGAUCAUGAUCCAUCGGUUCUGCUGGGUCAGGCUAUAGGACGACAAGACCCACCAAGGGACCAAGUGCUCCAGGCACCAUGGGACAGUGUCGGUCAGCCAAUGCUGAGGUGGGACCGUCGCUCUUUGGCCUGUUUCCCUGUUCUUUUCCACCCCUGGGAUCUGUGUUCCCCUCUGACUUCUGCCCCUCACCUUGGCCUGGCCCUACACCCAGACCUCGGCAGUGAGGCCUGAGAUCCCUCCCUGAACCCCACACAAGGUGAUCGGAUGGACUCCUCCUGGGAAGAGGAUGUCUGCACACGUGCUGGGACC
RNAcentral lists this long non-coding RNA (461 nucleotides) under Marmota monax (woodchuck). The record is from RNAcentral. Lineage: Eukaryota; Metazoa; Chordata; Mammalia; Rodentia; Sciuridae.